This is a long non-coding RNA of Lolium rigidum, 945 nucleotides long. RefSeq lists it as uncharacterized. NCBI's taxonomy places the organism in Eukaryota, Viridiplantae, Streptophyta, Magnoliopsida, Poales, Poaceae. The transcript is spliced from 7 exons. The record is from RefSeq and is a predicted model, not a curated record.
AUCUUGCCAAUGCCGCCAUCCUUUCCCACUUGGUUGGGGAAAAUGUCAUGAGAUUCAUCGUGCUUGAGAGGUGGAGAUGGAAAUGAAGUCGUUUUUACCAGUGCAUGUGACAGGAGUAAGAGAAGAGCGAAGUUGGAAAAUGGGUAAGAACAUAUGUCUGCAUCCCUGUCAUUUCAGAUUUAAACACUUCACUGGAAGAACCAUCUGUCUACCUGGUGGCUUCCUCAAAAUGAUACGGCCAUUGCCGCACCAAAUUAUCCAUGUGCAUGUCUACGUGACGUACAUCCAGUUUAAUCCUGUCAAUGAGAAGUGGGUUGAUGUGUUGUCCAAAUUGCAUGUCGAUGAUGAGUGGGCAGAGGAGUAACACAUGAUGAAAAUUCCAAUGGAUAACAGAAGAUACAAGCAUCAGGGGCCGUGAAGCCCAUGAGGCGUGAGCGGUUUGGGACGUCGACGGCAGCGAUGACGCCCGGGCGGCCGGUGUGGCAGAGGAGGAUACUGAUGGGGAUGCGGUGUGAGCUGCCGCGAUUCAGCGGGCUCAUACUGUACGAUGAGCAAGGCCGACGCCUCCAUCUCGGCACUCUGGGCAGAAGAAACCAUCUCCAGUGAUGUUGCAGGGUUUUUUGGCUAGAGCCGGAAACGAACAUUGCGGAGGUGAGCAGCAAAAAAUUGUCGGCGCCCAGGAGCGGAGCUGUGUGCUGGAGAUCAAGGGGACACUCGCGUGAUGGGCAGCGAUGAAGAAGAUUGAGAAGCAGCUCCUAGGUGCUCCUGGGCAGCGAGGAAGAGGAUCGAGCGAAGUUGUGCGUGCUGGAGAUCCUGGCGACUAGGGAUCGAGGGGACCAAGGGAUUGAGGGUAGCGACGACCUGGGGAGGAGGAGAAGCAGCUCCCAGGUGUGGAAGCCAUGAAGAGCACUGGCGACCUGGGGAGGGCGAGAAGCAGCGACAAUG